AGUGGUGAUAGAGGUGCGAGACUCAAAAGUAGCACUGCGGAGGAAGAUGAAUUCCACUGAUGCAGCGUGAAAGGGACGAUCGCCGAAGUAAAUGACCUGUUCAUCCAGUCAUUCGCUGGUUCUGCAUUGAAGAAAUGCAGAGCUGUCAAGAUGUUUAAUCAUCUUGGAGAGCUAUCUCACCU
Molecule: non-coding RNA, 182 nt
Filed under: Jeotgalibacillus soli
Lineage: Bacteria; Bacillati; Bacillota; Bacilli; Caryophanales; Caryophanaceae
Description: Lysine sequence
Rfam family: Lysine riboswitch aptamer
About the family: Riboswitches are metabolite binding domains within certain messenger RNAs that serve as precision sensors for their corresponding targets. Allosteric rearrangement of mRNA structure is mediated by ligand binding, and this results in modulation of gene expression. This family includes riboswitches that sense lysine in a number of genes involved in lysine metabolism, including lysC.
Source: Rfam by way of RNAcentral